UGCUGUGGUGCAGAGCUGGGGUGAGGGCUCUGGCCCCGUGACGUGCUGUGCAGCACAGGUGCUCCACUGCCACCCCUAAAUGUGCUGAGUAAUUGAGAAAAACCCCACGUUUCGUGGUCUGCUUCUUGUUAAGAGCUUUCCUCUGCUCCAGAUUCCUGAUCUCACCUUCCCUCUUGCACCUUCUUUUCUUCAUCUCACCCUUUGCACUCACCCAGGGAAAUCUGUGAGCCUUGCCUGGCUUUUUUCAGCAUUCUGUUGCCCAGAACAGAAACCCAGUGCUCUGGUCAGUGGUGAGAUAAUUUUACCCACACUGGAUGUGGUUCUGAGACUCUCUGGGCCUAACCCAACCUGGCUGCAGUGCUCCUGCCCCCUGAGCCCUCCCAGCUUGUCCUCAGGGAACAUCCUGGUGCAUGCUGAGUGCUGGGAUUGGUGACUGGGGAUGUGGGGAGGAAGGAGAAGAAUCAACCUCAACUUUAUUCUUCUGCUUUGAGCUUUUCUUCUACUAAAAAAUGUGAGACAAAUGUGCCUUUACUUGACCAGCUUGGGAGCCUGGUGAAGGAAAGGGGGAUUUGUGUGAAUUUAAAGGAAAGAUCGAUGCUUAGCUGCCUCCUAAUCUGGCAGUUGGAUAAGUGGUGCUCUCCUUGGGUUAUCAGGAAGCUUCUCAGAAUUCAGUGUUUUCAUGACUUGCCUACAAAUGCAGUUGUUGCAGCAUUAUCAGGUUGUUUCAUGCUGCAGAGAGAAUCCUUUAGCUGAGUGUUCCAUCUCCCUCUCCAAGCUGGGUCUGAUCCUUCAAAUGCUGUCCACGUGAGCUGCCAAGGGAGCUGCCUGCUCCUUCCAGCUGGCCCGUGGGCCAGCAGCAGUGCUGGGGAGGCUGAGGAGCAGGGGGAGCAGGCAGCAGCACCUGGGGCUGCAACCCGGAGCUGUGUUGGGGAAAACAGGGAGCACUUGGUGGGAGGAUGGAGGUGUGUGAUAGCUCCAGGCUCAGCAGGUGAGCUGGUGCUGGAACACAGGUGCUGUUCUGUUGGCAGCGUUUUUAACAGGUGCUUCAACCUGCAAGGUGGGAAGAGGAGCUUCAGUGACUCCUCCUGCCCUGCAAAUCUGUUCUGCAAUGCCAUUUAGAGCUUAAUCUCUGUUGCUGGACUGGUGUGAUUCGAUUUGUGCAGUACAUUCUCACAGGGAGAAAUGAGUGGCUGUCUUGAUGUACCAGAGAGACAAAAUAUUUAACCUUCUAGUAACAUUUUGAAUAAUUCAGGUGAAUGUGGUGCAGAAGCUGUGUGUCCUAAGCUUGUGCUUAAAAAGUCAUUGCCAAAGGGAGAUGUCAGUGCUGCCUCUCCUUCUCCAGUUUUUGGGGUGCUGGUGUGUCACACUCAUCAUGUGGACCUGCCAGAAUAAUUAAACUUAGAGCACAGCAAGAUCUUCUCUUUUCCUCUCCUGUUCUGGGUUCUGUGCCUCAGACCACAGAGGUCAUUCAUGCUCAGGAUAAACGUGAAUUUGGAAGAAGUUCUGCCAUAAAACCAGAUCUGCUUGAGCCCACAGAAAAACAGUUGCUAGAAAGUAGUGGCACUUCUGUUUUGCUGAAUUACCCACCAGGCAGGACAUAGUUUCAGUGCAAUGAAAUUACCAUUGAUUCAUUUUUUUUUUCAUGAAAACAACUAAAAUGUCAGUGCCCAUGUCAUGCAGUGAUCUUUUUUUGAUCCAGGGUUGGUGGAAAUGUUCAUAUGCCUUCACAAGUGCAGGAGGGGAUGAGCUUUAGGGAGAGCUGGUGCAGUGACAGCCCUGAGCAGCGGGACAGGGAUCUUGGGAACUGCAGUGGCUUUUGGAAGGAUGAGGCCCAGCCUGGGGGCUCUGCAUGAUGUGUUCAGGAUGCUGUCUCACACCAGGGAGGUUCGCAGGCAGAGACCAGAGUUUUGUGAUGAAACACCCAUGCUGACCAUCUCCAGAAGGUUUUCAGACCCCCAGGAAUUGGAGAGCUGUGUUGGAGAAGGUUCUGUAAACAGAAGAAGCCCAACAAGAAACCCAGUUGCUGAAAUGAAUGGAGGAGCUUGUGUUGCAGUGCCUGGAGCUGUGUCUGAGGCAGCUGAUCGUGCUGCUGCUCAUAAAGCAAGGCUGGGUGUGCAGUUCCUCAGGCACUGCUGCUCUGCUCCUCCCUGUGAGGCAGAUCCUGCCCUCAGGGAGGGCAAAGGUUGGAAGUAUGAAAAGAUUUAACACAUUUCUCUGGUCUCCUGGGAUGCAAUAAAGCAAUGACCUUCUAUCAAAAAAUCUGGAGUAAUUGAUGCCCUGGAGUUGUGUCAUGUGCUUUUUCUGUAAAAAAUAGAGCAGUACUUGCAAGCUGCUGCAUCUUUAGCUGCUGGUGGCUGUGUGGUGUUUGGCACAUCAGAGUCGUGGGGAGUUCAGUGCCAGGGGUUGCCCAGUGCAGUGCUGGGACAGCAGCAUCCUGGGCUUUUGCUGGGCACAUUCCAAGGGGGAUAUUUUUAACAUUAACAUAUAUUCACAUUGUCCUUGUUGCCAUCGGAUAACUUUUCUAAAUAUAAAUGGGAUGAAAUUUGCAUCCAUGAGCUGUCCUCACUGCUCAAGUGGCAAAAUCCUGUGACCUGCAUCCCAGCACCUCAGCUUACUCUGGUGGGGUGGUGGUUCAUUGCCUUGGCAUUUUUUAAAGAUGUUUAGAUGCAACACAACAAGCAACAAUUCCCUGUAAUUAAACUGUUGAUCAUCCUGGCUUGAGAAAGGAAUGUGAGGCAACAUGCACUCAAAAAAUGGAUGUGUUAAUUAAAAUGCACAUAUCCUUGGUCAUUAUUGCUUAAUAGGAAGGUGGAGCUGCUGUUCCUGCUGAGCUGGCAGAGAGCAGCUCCCUGGUUCUGUGGCCCAGCAGCUCAGGUGCAGGUGCAUUUCCUAAAAUCACUGAUGAUAUUGUGAAGAGCUCAUGUGGAGAAGGAUAUUUCUGGGCAGAGCAACCUGUGUAACUCGACUGUAGGUGCUCUGCUUGGAGAAGCUCUCCUUUAGCUCUCUUAUUUCUUCUGUUCUGUUGGAUCAGGCAGACUCUUGGAACUCUUUGUUCUUGGGACUGUAAAUUGUCUUUCUCGUGAUGUUGGCAAAUAUUGGCAGUAGCAGAGCUGGGUUCCCAAAGCUGUGGCAGGUAACUGCAGUAAACAACGCUGGAGUGACAGAGCUGCCCCUGCAGACCUGGGUUCACUUGAACUUGGCAAACAAAGGGAAGCAGCAGUAAAAGCCAGUGUCCUUUAAUUGUGGGAGAGGCCCUUCUGCCCUGAUAAAGUGGCUCUGGAGUGCCAGGACAGGCAGCAAUUUCCGGAUUCAAGCCCAGAGAGUGCAGGGCUGCUCUCAGAGAGAGAAACGGGGAAAUGUGCUGAGUGUUUGAUAAACAGUGCCCAGUGCAGAGUGUGUGGCUGAUGCCUUGAGAGGCUCCCUCAGUGUUAAAGGAAUAAAGUAGGGAUUUAUUAGAAGGCAUUUAAAGGGUACACCUUGGGCAGUACGAGAGCCUGGCCAUGGCUCUACCCAAGAUGGACUCAGAGUCAUGAGUUUUCACACUUUUAUAAGUUUUGGUCCUUUUCUGUAUUGGGGUUAAUUACAGCUUCAGGUUAUAAAGUCAUAUCCUCCCAGAUUGUUCUCCUCAGUUUGCUGUUGUUUAUACUUUUUGGGCCUUCUCAGGCUGGAAAAGGAUUGUUUUGUCUAGCUAAACUGUGAGGAGAACUUGCUAACACUUUCUGUGAAGUUCAGAGUUAUAUACUAACGCAGCGCAGAAUCUGGAAAAUAAGAAAUCUAAACCUUUCCUGUGUCCUGCUGCCUUUCUGUGCUGGGAUAGAGCUCUUACCAGGCAGGGAUGUCACCAUGCCACAGGCAGACAAUGCAGGGAGAACAUUCCCUGUUCCAUUUCCAGCCCUGGCUGAUGCAGGAGGUGCUGAUGGGAGCUCUUGCCUCUUUCCUCGGAGCUGUUUGGGUUUCUGCUGCAGCACGAUCACA
This is a long non-coding RNA of Passer domesticus (house sparrow), 3975 nucleotides long. RefSeq lists it as uncharacterized. NCBI's taxonomy places the organism in Eukaryota, Metazoa, Chordata, Aves, Passeriformes, Passeridae. The transcript is spliced from 3 exons. The record is from RefSeq and is a predicted model, not a curated record.